CAAAAGAUAUUUUCUUUUUCUUCUUCACCCACCCAACACCAUUUUCUCCCUCCACCAUGAAAAAUCAAUUUCCUUUCAUUUUCUUUUCUUUGUUUUCAUUUCCUUUCCUUUCUUUUCUUACUUCUUUCUUCUCUUAACUUCUUAGGCAUCAAACAUGCAGCUUUUAACACCAUUUUUUAGCACACCAAACCCUAGGAGAGAGAAGGAAAAAUCUCUCUUUCUUUCCUUUAUUUUCUAUUUUUACUCCACCAUCACCAACACUUGAAUUUUCAACCUUAAAUCUCCAUUUUUAAGGCUAAAAGGUUUUUGUUGAUCUUUAUGCCUCCAAGCUCACCAAGGUUUUAAUGGUAUUUCGGGAUUACCUGAAUUAAGAUCUUGUGGGUGCUAGUCUUGUUAGGUGGCAUUGUUAAGAUUUGGAGGUAGUUGGGACCUAGGUCGAAGAGUUCAUUUGUAUUCACCAUUUGGUAGGUACCAUGGCAUCCAGUAACAGUACCCACGCCCAAAGUCACUCCGCUAAUAGUCAAGGUCUCUUACAUGUGUAUAUAGUUAUUUAAAUGUAAAUUAUGAGAUUGUUGCACACUCUGUACAUUUGAUUUGAUUAACCAUGUUUGUUGCACACUCUGUACAUUUGAUUUGAUUAACCAUGUUGUUUAGGGUUUACGAAUGAUAACCCUAAUUUGAGAACAUUAUAUAUA
Molecule: non-coding RNA, 695 nt
Organism: Theobroma cacao (cacao)
Lineage: Eukaryota; Viridiplantae; Streptophyta; Magnoliopsida; Malvales; Malvaceae
Source: RefSeq, a predicted model, not a curated record